GGUGCAAACGGUUAACACGUUCAGCUGCCAACUGAAAGGCUGGUGGUUCGAAUCCACC
Molecule: transfer RNA, 58 nt
Filed under: Loxodonta africana (African savanna elephant)
Lineage: Eukaryota; Metazoa; Chordata; Mammalia; Proboscidea; Elephantidae
Rfam family: tRNA
About the family: Transfer RNA (tRNA) molecules are approximately 80 nucleotides in length. Their secondary structure includes four short double-helical elements and three loops (D, anti-codon, and T loops).
Source: Rfam by way of RNAcentral